Camellia sinensis is the source of this 310-nucleotide non-coding RNA. The record is from RefSeq and is a predicted model, not a curated record. Lineage: Eukaryota; Viridiplantae; Streptophyta; Magnoliopsida; Ericales; Theaceae.
GCUGAAGGUGAUGAUGAUGAAACUGACAAAGAUGCUGAUAUUACAGAAGAGAGUGCACAUGAUGAGUUGUAGGGAGGGAGAGCACCAUUGUGGUUUUCUGCUGACAAUUCACUCUCUCGAGAUCUCUCAAUUUUUUUCUUGCUUAGUUUAUUUGUAGCUUUUAGUUUUGUUUGUGUUUUAGGGAAAGAAACAUUGGUGGCUGCAUAGCAAGCAAGAACUGUGGCUAAUUGUUUUAAUCUCAUUUGACUCACCUGAGGAAUUGAAUCAGUAGUUGUUGGGUUUACCACUGUAUGGAACGUCACUUGUGCCA